Molecule: ribosomal RNA, 264 nt
Filed under: uncultured archaeon
Lineage: Archaea
Description: partial 16S ribosomal RNA
Rfam family: Archaeal small subunit ribosomal RNA
Source: RNAcentral
AGACGUCUACAUUAGAUACCCGGGUAGUCCCAGCCGUAAACUAUGCGCGUUAGGUGUAUCGGUGACCACGAGUUACCGAGGUGCCGAAGGGAAACCGUGAAACGUGCCGCCUGGGAAGUACGGUCGCAAGGCUGAAACUUAAAGGAAUUGCGGGGGAGCACCACAACAGGUGGAGCCUGCGGUUUAAUUGGACUCAACGCCGGACAACUCACCGGGGACGACAGCAAUAUGUAGGCCAGGCUGAAGACCUUGCCUGAAUCGCUG